This 377-nucleotide ribosomal RNA is filed under the name uncultured bacterium. RNAcentral describes it as "bacterial SSU rRNA". It matches the Rfam family "Bacterial small subunit ribosomal RNA", at positions 523 to 898 of the family's 1533-position model. The record is from RNAcentral.
AUACGUAGGGGGCGAGCGUUGUCCGGAAUUAUUGGGCGUAAAGGGCGUGUAGGCGGCCUUGCAAGUCAGGGGUGAAAACCCGGGGCUCAACCGCGGGAUCGCCUUUGAAACUGCGGGGCUUGAGUGCUCUAGAGGGCAGUGGAAUUCCCGGUGUAGCAGUGAAAUGCGUAGAGAUCGGGAGGAACACCAGUGGCGAAGGCGGCUGCCUGGGGAGCAACUGACGCUGAGGCGCGAAAGCUAGGGGAGCAAACAGGAUUAGAUACCCUGGUAGUCCUAGCCGUAAACGAUGAGUGCUAUGUGUGAGGGGUAUCGACCCCCCUCGUGCAGCAGCAAACGCAUUAAGCACUCCGCCUGGGGAGUACGGCCGCAAGGUUGAA